Long non-coding RNA from Stegodyphus dumicola, 485 nucleotides. NCBI's taxonomy places the organism in Eukaryota, Metazoa, Arthropoda, Arachnida, Araneae, Eresidae. The record is from RefSeq and is a predicted model, not a curated record.
UAUAUAUACAGUGAAGUGAUUGACAAUAUAUCAAUCCAGUGUGAUUUCUGAUACUUGAAUAAGCUUGAAGUGGCCAAGAAAUUAACUAUUCAGAAUGAAGUUGUUCGCUUACAUCUUUUUCCUCUUGAUGGUUCUCAUUCUUUUAGUGUGUCCUCUAGCCAUUCAAGCGGCUGACACCACCACAGCUGGAGCUACAGAUGCUGCUGCAGAUGCUUCAAGUACUACUAAAGGAACUACAGGGACUACAGCAGCUGCAGAUGCAGCAACGACUGAAGCACCUAGUAAGAAAGCAGAUUAGAAGAACUCCUUGUUUUAGCGACUAAUCCGGUGAAAGCAAGACUUAACAUUACUGGAGUGGAGGGUUUUGGUGGCGUUGAAUCUUAACAGAGAAAGAUGUUUGGGCGGUUGCGGGAAAGAAUAUUCUGUAUAUCUCCCAAUUCUUAAUUUCCCGCCUCUGCAAAAUAAACCUAUUUUUUGUAUUGAAA